GUGAGUCAUCGAAUCUUUGAACGCACAUUGCGCCUCCUGUAACAGGGAGGCAUGCCUGUCUGAGCGUCAUUUAAAUCCAUAACCCCCCCUCCUUUGGGUGGGGUUGUCUUGGGCGUCGCAUAGUAUUGCGUGGCCUGAAAGCCAUAGGUCUUGAGCGGACGAGAUCCAUUUUGGACUGACCGUUUGACGACCCUAAACCCUCUCUGACUUGACCUCAGAUCAGGUAGGACUACCGCCUGAACUUAAGCAUAUCAAUAAGCGGAGGA
Molecule: unclassified non-coding RNA, 266 nt
Filed under: fungal sp.
Lineage: Eukaryota; Fungi
Description: partial contains 5.8S ribosomal RNA, internal transcribed spacer 2, and large subunit ribosomal RNA
Rfam family: 5.8S ribosomal RNA (bases 1-69)
Source: RNAcentral